UAGCUAGUUGGUGGGGUAACGGCUCACCAAGGCGACGAUACAUAGCCGACCUGAGAGGGUGAUCGGCCACACUGGGACUGAGACACGGCCCAGACUCCUACGGGAGGCAGCAGUAGGGAAUCUUCGGCAAUGGACGGAAGUCUGACCGAGCAACGCCGCGUGAGUGAAGAAGGUUUUCGGAUCGUAAAGCUCUGUUGUAAGAGAAGAACGAGUGUGAGAGUGGAAAGUUCACACUGUGACGGUAUCUUACCAGAAAGGGACGGCUAACUACGUGCCAGCAGCCGCGGUAAUACGUAGGUCCCGAGCGUUGUCCGGAUUUAUUGGGCGUAAAGCGCGCGUAGGCGGUAAAAUAAGUCUGAUGUGAAAGCCCCCGGCUCAACCGGGAGGGUCAUUGGAAACUGUUUACUUAGUCGUGGAGG
This 419-nucleotide ribosomal RNA is filed under the name uncultured Bacilli bacterium. Its description in RNAcentral is "bacterial SSU rRNA". It matches the Rfam family "Bacterial small subunit ribosomal RNA", at positions 242 to 654 of the family's 1533-position model. Lineage: Bacteria; Bacillati; Bacillota; Bacilli. The record is from RNAcentral.